AUUGAACGCUGGCGGAAUGCUUUACACAUGCAAGUCGAACGGCAGCACGGACUUCGGUCUGGUGGCGAGUGGCGAACGGGUGAGUAAUGUAUCGGAACGUGCCCAGUCGUGGGGGAUAACGUAGUGAUAAUUACGCUAAUACCGCAUACGAUCUAUGGAUGAAAGCGGGGGAUCGCAAGACCCCGCGCGAUUGGAGCGGCGGAUAUCAGAUUAGGUAGUUGGUGGGGUAAAGGCCCACCAAGCCAACGACCUGUAGCUGGCCUGAGAGGACGACCGGCCACACGGGCGCUGAGACACGGUCCAGACUCCUACGGGAGGAAGCAGUGGGGAAUCUUGGACAUUGGGCGGAAGCCUGAGCCGGCCAUCCCGCGUGCAGGAUGAAGGCCCUCGGGUUGUAAACUGCUUUUGUACAGAACGAAAAGGUUUCUACUAAUACUAGGAGCUCAUGACGGUACUGUAAGAAUAAGCAGCGGCUAGCUACGUGCCAGCCGCUUCCGUAA
This 500-nucleotide ribosomal RNA is filed under the name uncultured bacterium. RNAcentral describes it as "partial 16S ribosomal RNA". It matches the Rfam family "Bacterial small subunit ribosomal RNA", at positions 30 to 523 of the family's 1533-position model. The record is from RNAcentral.